GGGCGCAUAGCUCAGCUGGUUAGAGUAUUAGCUCGACAAGCUAAGGGUCACUGGUUCGAUCCCAGUUGCGCCCACCA
Molecule: transfer RNA, 77 nt
Filed under: Candidatus Goldiibacteriota bacterium HGW-Goldbacteria-1
Lineage: Bacteria; Candidatus Goldiibacteriota
Also listed under: 1 other name
Description: Candidatus Goldbacteria bacterium HGW-Goldbacteria-1 tRNA-Val
Rfam family: tRNA
About the family: Transfer RNA (tRNA) molecules are approximately 80 nucleotides in length. Their secondary structure includes four short double-helical elements and three loops (D, anti-codon, and T loops).
Source: RNAcentral